Molecule: ribosomal RNA, 253 nt
Filed under: uncultured bacterium
Lineage: Bacteria
Description: partial 16S ribosomal RNA
Rfam family: Bacterial small subunit ribosomal RNA
Source: RNAcentral
UACGUAGGGUGCAAGCGUUAAUCGGAAUUACUGGGCGUAAAGGGCGCGUAGGCGGCCUUCUAAGUCGAACGUGAAAUCCCCGGGCUCAACCCGGGAACUGCGUCCGAGACUGGAAGGCUUGAAUCCGGGAGAGGGAUGUGGAAUUCCAGGUGUAGCGGUGAAAUGCGUAGAUAUCUGGAGGAACAUCGGUGGCGAAGGCGGCAUCCUGGACCGGUAUUGACGCUCAUGUGCGAAAGCGUGGGGAGCAAACAGG